GACGAACGCUGGCGGCGUGCUUAACACAUGCAAGUCGAACGGAAAGUCCCUGCCUUUGUGGGGUGCUCGAGUGGCGAACGGGUGAGUAACACGUGAGUAACGUGUACUUGACCUUGGGAUGUCUUCAGGAAACUGGGGCUAAUACCGGAUAGGAGUUACUGCUGCUGGGUGGGGGUGGGAAGGUUUCGGUGGUUGGGAGUGGAAUCGCGGCUUAUUGGCUUGUUGGAUGGGUAGUGUCUGAGCAAGGCCUUGACGGGUUGGCGGCCUGAUAGGGGGACCGGCCACGUUGGGACUGGGAUACGGCCCGGCCCCCUCUGGGAGGCAAGAGUGGGGUAUAGUGCACUAUGGGCUGAACCCUGAUGCAGCAACGCCGCGUGGGGUAUGACAUCCAGCGGGUUGUAUACCGCUUUCGCCUUUGACGAAGCGUGAGUGACGGUAAUGGGUAAAGAAGCACCGGCUAACUACGUG
This 468-nucleotide ribosomal RNA is filed under the name uncultured bacterium. Its description in RNAcentral is "partial 16S ribosomal RNA". It matches the Rfam family "Bacterial small subunit ribosomal RNA", at positions 28 to 507 of the family's 1533-position model. The record is from RNAcentral.